AUACUCGCGAAACUGCGAAUGGCUCAUUAAAUCAGUUAUCGUUUAUUUGAUAAUACCUUACUACUUGGAUAACCGUGGUAAUUCUAGAGCUAAUACAUGCUAAAAAUCCCGACUUCGGAAGGGAUGUAUUUAUUAGAUUAAAAACCAAUGCCCUCUGGGCUCACUGGUGAUUCAUAAUAACUUCUCGAAUCGCAUGGCCUUGCGCCGGCGAUGGUUCAUUCAAAUUUCUGCCCUAUCAACUUUCGACGGCUGGGUCUUGGCCAGCCAUGGUGACAACGGGUAACGGAGGGUUAGGGCUCGACCCCGGAGAAGGAGCCUGAGAAACGGCUACUACAUCCAAGGAAGGCAGCAGGCGCGCAAAUUACCCAAUCCCGACUCGGGGAGGUAGUGACAAUACAUACUGAUACAGGGCUCUUUUGGGUCUUGUAAUUGGAAUGAGUACAAUUUAAAUCUCUUAACGAGGAACAAUUGGAGGGCAAGUCUGGUGCCAGCAGCCGCGGUAAUUCCAGCUCCAAUAGCGUAUAUUAAAGUUGUUGCGGUUAAAAAGCUCGUAGUUGAACCUUGGGCCUGGCUGGCCGGUCCGCCUCACCGCGUGCACUGGUUCGGUCGGGCCUUUCCCUCUGGGGAACCGCAUGCCCUUCACUGGGCGUGUCGGGGAACCAGGACUUUUACUUUGAAAAAAUUAGAGUGUUCAAAGCAGGCCUAUGCUCGAAUACAUUAGCAUGGAAUAAUAGAAUAGGACGUGCGGUUCUAUUUUGUUGGUUUCUAGGACCGCCGUAAUGAUUAAUAGGGACAGUCGGGGGCAUCAGUAUUCAAUUGUCAGAGGUGAAAUUCUUGGAUUUAUUGAAGACUAACUACUGCGAAAGCAUUUGCCAAGGAUGUUUUCAUUAAUCAGGAACGAAAGUUAGGGGAUCGAAGACGAUCAGAUACCGUCGUAGUCUUAACCAUAAACUAUGCGAACUAGGGAUCGGACGAUGUUAUUUUUUGACUCGUUCGGCACCUUACACGAAAG
RNAcentral lists this ribosomal RNA (1012 nucleotides) under Neospadicoides sp. Its description in RNAcentral is "SSU rRNA". It matches the Rfam family "Eukaryotic small subunit ribosomal RNA", at positions 75 to 1098 of the family's 1831-position model. Lineage: Eukaryota; Fungi; Ascomycota; Sordariomycetes; Xenospadicoidales; Xenospadicoidaceae. The record is from RNAcentral.